AACUCUGAACGCUUGUGGCUUCACUUCUGUUGCUGACUCUUGAGUAUGUGCACGUUUUGAAGUCGCUCGCCUCUUCUUUGUCCACCUGUGCACCUUUUGUAGAUCUGGUUGGGGUUGAAGGUGAGGUUCGCCUCCCUUCGUUUCCUCCGGGUCUAUGCUUCAUAUCAUCUCUUGCAUGUUUAGAAUGUCUUCGUUUAUGGGACUUCACCGUCCUCUAAAACAACUUAAUA
This 230-nucleotide unclassified non-coding RNA is filed under the name Oudemansiella venosolamellata. RNAcentral's name for it is "ITS1". The record is from RNAcentral. Lineage: Eukaryota; Fungi; Basidiomycota; Agaricomycetes; Agaricales; Physalacriaceae.